UUCUGGACGAAAGGCUUCGAGAGAAAUUACUCUAUGCGGUGGAUCACUCGGCUCGUGUGUCGAUGAAGAGCGCAGCCAGCUGCGUGAAUUAAUGUGAAUUGCAGGACACGUUGAACAUCGACAUCUCGAACGCACAUUG
RNAcentral lists this ribosomal RNA (139 nucleotides) under Squamopleura miles. RNAcentral's name for it is "Acanthopleura miles partial 5.8S rRNA". The stretch from base 28 to 139 matches the Rfam family "5.8S ribosomal RNA", at positions 1 to 113 of the family's 154-position model. From Rfam's summary of the family: 5.8S ribosomal RNA (5.8S rRNA) is a component of the large subunit of the eukaryotic ribosome. It is transcribed by RNA polymerase I as part of the 45S precursor that also contains 18S and 28S rRNA. The record is from RNAcentral. Lineage: Eukaryota; Metazoa; Mollusca; Polyplacophora; Chitonida; Chitonidae.